AUUGAACGCUGGCGGCAGGCUUAACACAUGCAAGUCGAACGGUAACAUAAGUGCUUGCACUUGAUGACGAGUGGCGGACGGGUGAGUAAGGUAUGGGGAUCUGCCGAAUGGAGGGGGACAACAGUUGGAAACGACUGCUAAUACCGCAUAAAGUUGAGAGACCAAAGCAUGGGACCUACGGGCCAUGCGCCAUUUGAUGAACCCAUAUGGGAUUAGCUAGUUGGUGGGGUAAUAGCUCACCAAGGCGACGAUCUCUAGCUGGUCUGAGAGGAUGACCAGCCACACUGGAACUGAGACACGGUCCAGACUCCUACGGGAGGCAGCAGUGGGGAAUAUUGCACAAUGGGGGGAACCCUGAUGCAGCCAUGCCGCGUGUAUGAAGAAGGCCUUCGGGUUGUAAAGUACUUUCGGUGAUGAGGAAGGUGAUGAAUCUAAUAGGUUUAUUAAUUGACGUUAAUCACAGAAGAAGCACCGGCUAACUCCGUGCCAGCAGCCGCGGUAAUACGGAGGGUGCGAGCGUUAAUCGGAAUGACUGGGCGUAAAGGGCAUGUAGGCGGAUAAUUAAGUUAGGUGUGAAAGCCCUGGGCUCAACCUAGGAAUUGCACUUAAAACUGGUUAACUAGAGUAUUGUAGAGGAAGGUAGAAUUCCACGUGUAGCGGUGAAAUGCGUAGAGAUGUGGAGGAAUACCGGUGGCGAAGGCGGCCUUCUGGACAGAUACUGACGCUGAGAUGCGAAAGCGUGGGAGCAAACAGGAUUAGAUACCGUGGUAGUCCACGCUGUAAACGAUGUCGAUUUGGAGUUUGUUGCCUAGAGUGAUGGGCUCCGAAGCUAACGCGAUAAAUCGACCGCCUGGGGAGUACGGCCGCAAGGUUAAAACUCAAAUGAAUUGACGGGGGCCCGCACAAGCGGUGGAGCAUGUGGUUUAAUUCGAUGCAACGCGAAGAACCUUACCUGGUCUUGACGUCCACAGAAUCUUGUAGAGAUACGAGAGUGCCUUCGGGAACUGUGAGACAGGUGCUGCAUGGCUGUCGUCAGCUUG
Molecule: ribosomal RNA, 1040 nt
Filed under: uncultured Gammaproteobacteria bacterium
Lineage: Bacteria; Pseudomonadati; Pseudomonadota; Gammaproteobacteria
Description: bacterial SSU rRNA
Rfam family: Bacterial small subunit ribosomal RNA
Source: RNAcentral